UACGAAGGGGGCUAGCGUUGCUCGGAAUCACUGGGCGUAAAGCGCACGUAGGCGGCUUCUUAAGUCAGGGGUGAAAGCCUGGAGCUCAACUCCAGAACUGCCUUUGAAACUACAUCGCUAGAAUCAUGGAGAGGUUAGUGGAAUUCCGAGUGUAGAGGUGAAAUUCGUAGAUAUUCGGAAGAACACCAGUGGCGAAGGCGACUAACUGGACAUGUAUUGACGCUGAGGUGCGAAAGCGUGGGGAGCAAACAGG
This 253-nucleotide ribosomal RNA is filed under the name uncultured bacterium. Its description in RNAcentral is "partial 16S ribosomal RNA". It matches the Rfam family "Bacterial small subunit ribosomal RNA", at positions 524 to 776 of the family's 1533-position model. The record is from RNAcentral.